GAAUUACUAAAACUGAAAUUACUAUCUUUGGGAAGCAUAAAACUAAAGUCUAGGUAAGAGAAAGGCAUGAUAUAAAGUUGAGUUGCUGUUUAUCUUGUUCCUACUACACUAAGUUCUGGAGAUUUAUUUUGAAAACUUACAAAUCACAUGAUGAGUUCCUAGCAUAACAAACUACCUACCACAGCCAUACUUGCUAUAACAUCUUUUACUAUAUUCACAUUGAGUUUGAUCGAGCUGUGUAGACCCUUAGGAGCUUUUCAUGUGGUUAAAUUGAGAUAUUCACUUGCACACAUC
Molecule: long non-coding RNA, 294 nt
Filed under: Sorghum bicolor (sorghum)
Lineage: Eukaryota; Viridiplantae; Streptophyta; Magnoliopsida; Poales; Poaceae
Description: long non-coding RNA (SBIC_LNC016187)
Source: RNAcentral